AUUGAACGCUGGCGGCAUGCUUUACACAUGCAAGUCGAACGGCAGCACGGGCUUCGGCCUGGUGGCGAGUGGCGAAUGGGUGAGUAAUGCAUCGGAACGUGCCCAUUUGUGGGGGAUAACUACGCGAAAGCGUGGCUAAUACCGCAUACGCCCUGAGGGGGAAAGCGGGGGAUUCUUCGGAACCUCGCGCAAUUGGAGCGGCCGAUGUCAGAUUAGCUUGUUGGUGAGGUAAAGGCUCACCAAGGCGACGAUCUGUAGCGGGUCUGAGAGGAUGAUCCGCCACACUGGGACUGAGACACGGCCCAGACUCCUACGGGAGGCAGCAGUGGGGAAUUUUGGACAAUGGGGGCAACCCUGAUCCAGCCAUGCCGCGUGAGUGAAGAAGGCCUUCGGGUCGUAAAGCUCUGUCAGAUGGGAAGAAAUGGGUGGGGGCUAAUAUCGCCCAUCCUUGACGGUACCAUCAGAGGAAGCACCGGCUAACUCCGUG
This 487-nucleotide ribosomal RNA is filed under the name uncultured bacterium. Its description in RNAcentral is "bacterial SSU rRNA". It matches the Rfam family "Bacterial small subunit ribosomal RNA", at positions 30 to 507 of the family's 1533-position model. The record is from RNAcentral.